RNAcentral lists this ribosomal RNA (506 nucleotides) under uncultured bacterium. Its description in RNAcentral is "partial 16S ribosomal RNA". It matches the Rfam family "Bacterial small subunit ribosomal RNA", at positions 28 to 523 of the family's 1533-position model. The record is from RNAcentral.
GAUGAACGCUAGCUACAGGCUUAACACAUGCAAGUCGAGGGGUAACGGGAGGAAAGCUUGCUUUCCUUGUCGACGACCGGCGCACGGGUGAGUAACGCGUAUCCAACCUGCCCCCAACUAGGGAAUAACCUUGCGAAAGUAAGACUAAUACCCUAUAAUUUCCUCAGAUGUCAUCUGACGAGGAAUAAAGAUUUAUCGGUUGUGGAUGGGGAUGCGUCUGAUUAGCUUGUUGGCGGGGUAACGGCCCACCAAGGCAACGAUCAGUAGGGGUUCUGAGAGGAAGGUCCCCCACAUUGGAACUGAGACACGGUCCAAACUCCUACGGGAGGCAGCAGUGAGGAAUAUUGGUCAAUGGGCGGAAGCCUGAACCAGCCAAGUAGCGUGCAGGAUGACGGCCCUAUGGGUUGUAAACUGCUUUUAUACAGGAAUAAAGUCAGCCACGUGUGGUUAUUUGUAGGUACUGUAUGAAUAAGGACCGGCUAAUUCCGUGCCAGCCGCCGCUGUAA